This is a long non-coding RNA of Oryzias melastigma (Indian medaka), 1078 nucleotides long. RefSeq lists it as uncharacterized. The transcript is spliced from 3 exons. The record is from RefSeq and is a predicted model, not a curated record. NCBI's taxonomy places the organism in Eukaryota, Metazoa, Chordata, Actinopteri, Beloniformes, Adrianichthyidae.
GGGUACCGUUAAAAUUGAACCGGUUACAGAUUGUAGCAGUACACCUGCAGUGGGUAUCAUUAAAGCCGAAUAAGAGGUAUCAUAAUAUACGAUGGGUCAAAGAUUCCGGCACAUUAAAACUGAACAGGUAAUGCUGGUUUCUUCCUGACAUUCUGGAGGCAUCUGCAGUCCUGGAUAUACAGUAAACUGCUUCCAGCACAUGAUAGACUAAUAACAUCAGUAACCCUCUCAAGAAUUCAGCGUGCAGAUGACUCCAGCAUCUACGUCCUUCGCCUGCAUCCGUGCAGCCAAUGUCCUGAUGGAGCUGCCUUCCCCCGGCUGUGCCUCUUCCACGGGGAUAACUCGCAGUUCACGCCGCUAAAGUGGAGGUAGAAGCAAGGCUCAUGAAUGCGUUGGUUCAGGAGCCUCUGAGCAGGAAAUGGCAACUUUUUGUAAGCUGGGUGGAGGACCGUAGGGAGAGCCGAGGGUUGCAGGACGCCACAUCAGCUCCGCUGUGGACUCCACGGCUGCAUUCUGGUCAGGAGUCUUCAGCGAUUCCAGUGCAUGUGGACCAGAGCAGGGCGAUCAUUUAGCAACGUUCAGGAGCCUGCAGCCCUCUCAGGACGAGCAUGCAUCCUCCACACAAAAACAACACAGUCUGCUUCCAGCUCGCGCGCACUGCUUCUGCCUGUGCAGCCGCACCGACGCUGCCCUCCAUGCUUAUUCAGUCAGAGUGGUUAGAUAACGUGGAAGCAGACGAGAGGCGUCCCUGCUGCACUGCGAAGCCACACGGCAUGCAGGACAGAUGUUCGGACGGCCGCGUUUUUUUUUUUUUUUUUUUUUUUUUUUUUUUCUGGCGGGGAAACCAAAGUGAGCCGCGCUCUCAGCAGGGAUUCAGAGGUGUACCAACGUAGAGGCUGCUGCUGAUUGAUGCAAAAACAGCAGAUGCGUCAGCACUGCAGACGGGGGGGAGGGGAGGAAGCUAAACGCUCCGUAGCCUCCGAGGACAGAAGCAACUGUUUCCUUUACAGAAACGACUGCAGACGAUUUUUACCCAAACUCACAAACUACACCGCAAACACUGGAUCUGAAGAAAGUA